This 21-nucleotide unclassified non-coding RNA is filed under the name Dictyostelium discoideum. Lineage: Eukaryota; Evosea; Eumycetozoa; Dictyosteliales; Dictyosteliaceae. The record is from RNAcentral.
UACUUCCAAACCGUUAUUCAA